UUUUUUUUUUUUUUUUUUUUUUUUUUUUUUAGGGCCACACCCACAGCAUAUGGAGGCUCUCAGGCUAGGGGCUGAAUUGGUGUAGCCUAAACCGCUGGCCUACCCCACAGUCACAGCAACGCCAGACCCAAGCUGCAUCUGCGACGUACACCACAGCUCAUGGCCAUGCUGGAUCCUUAAUCCACUGAUUGAGGCCAGCGAUCGAACCUGCAUUCUCGCGGAUACUAGUCAGAUUUGUUUCUGCUGAGCCAUGACGGGAACUCUGAAGGGGCCAGUUUUAAUUUGACCUGCCAGAGCUGUGAAAAACACAUGAAGGUAGAAGCAAGCCAUCUUCACCUACAUCAACUGCUCCUGCAGUCUGCCUGUCCUCCUUCUAUUUGGCCUGUGGUUCCCACCAUGAAAGUCAUGCCUGAGAUAGUCAAUGUUGUUGUUUCUGUGAUGUUGUUUUGUUACAUGCAACCCAUUGCAAUCCUAAUGGGUAUGAAUAACGCAGACAGGAAGGCUGUUGCCGAAACUUGGCCUCUGUCCACCGGUGCUAAAUAGAAAUACGGAGACAGAGUUUGGGACGAAGGAGAAAAAAAUAGAUUUACUGCUUUGCCAGGCAAAGGAGGCCACAGCAGGCUGUAUUCUCCAUACUGUACAUUUCAUACCCAUGACUCAUUUAUUUUGUAACUGUAAGUUUGCACCUCCUAAUCUUCCUCACCUACUUCCCUCCCUCCCCAUCCCCCUACUCUCUGGCAACCACCUGUUCGUCCUCUGUAUAUAUGACUCUGUUUGUUUAGUUAUCAUUGCUCAUUUGUUUUGUUUUUUGUUUCAACAUGUGAGAUCAUACAGUAUUUGUUUUUGCUCUGACUUAUUUUCACUUAGCAUAAUGUCUUCAAGGUGCAUCCAUGUUGUUGAAAUGACAGGAUUUCAUUCUUUUUUAUGGCUGAAUAAUAUUCCAGCAUGUGUGUGUGUGUGUGUGUGUGUGUGUGUGUGUGUGUGUGUGAUCUUCUUUAUCCAUUCAUAUGUUGAUGGGCACUUGGGCUGCACCCAUAUCCUGACAAUUGUAAAUAAUGAAUCUCUUUUUUCCAUUCCCUUUCAGUCUUUAGACGUGAAGAAAAAAAUUUUUUUUUGUCUUUUGUUUUUUUAGGGCCACACUGCGGCAUAUGGAGAUUCCCAGGUGUGGCCCAAAAAAAAAAAAAAAAUCUAAACUUGAAACCCAAAUUUUAGUGACUAACCCCUAAGGGAGACUGGCAGUGAGGUAAUUCAGGGAUCAGCCCAGCACCCUCUUGCCAUCCUCCUGGUGACAACUGAUUCUGCCUCUGGGAGUGGCUCCUCAUCACAGUCUCCUGCUCCUGGCAGUGGGGGAGGGCCCUGGAAGAAACUCCUUCCCCUGACCACCGUGAUUGGCCCAGAGAUGGCACAUGACCCAGGUCAAGCCAGUCAGAGAUUUUUCUAAUUGGAGCUGGCAGGAAGUCAUCCCCAAGCCUGUGGUGGCCAUGAGGGGAUGCCGGGAAGCACUAAGGUGAAGUGGGGUCCCAACAGGGGCUGGCCGCCCAUGUCCAAUUGGUGGGAUUUCUGAGCUGUCCUAAUCCCUGGGGCUCUCCCUUCAAUUCUUUGACAAACUCGAUACCUUCUAAUAAAUUUCUCACUUAAACUGGUUUGAGCUGGGUUUUUGUCCUAUGCAAAUCAGAAGACUCUGACUGUAUUUUGAGGAGGUGGUACAAUUUUCAGUCAAAGGAUUGCCUGGAACCUUUCUUUUGGGGGGCUGUACCCACACCAUGCAGAAGUUCCUUAGGCCAGGGAUUGAACCCACACCACAGCAGCCACCAGAGCUAGCGUAGUGACAACAUCAGAUCCUCAACCUACUGAGCUACCAGGGAGCUCUGCUUGAAACCUUUCAAGUUCACUCCCAAGCCUGCCACUUCUCUCUUUUCUAGAAGGUGAGUUCCCCAUCACUAGAGGUUUUCAAGCAGAGAAGGGAUGUCCUUUGUCUGGGAUGAAUCAGAGGGAAUUACUGCUUUGGAGCUAAAGAGAUUUAACUGGGUGGCAUCAACUAUCC
RNAcentral lists this long non-coding RNA (2044 nucleotides) under Sus scrofa (pig). Its description in RNAcentral is "lncRNA (ENSSSCG00045030121.1)". Lineage: Eukaryota; Metazoa; Chordata; Mammalia; Artiodactyla; Suidae. The record is from RNAcentral.